RNAcentral lists this ribosomal RNA (254 nucleotides) under uncultured bacterium. Its description in RNAcentral is "partial 16S ribosomal RNA". It matches the Rfam family "Bacterial small subunit ribosomal RNA", at positions 524 to 776 of the family's 1533-position model. The record is from RNAcentral.
UACGUAGGGGCCAAGCGUUGUCCGGAUUUAUUGGGCGUAAAGAGCUCGUAGGCGGUUCGGCAAGUCAGCUGUGAAAUCUCCACGCUCAACGUGGAGGGGUCAGCUGAUACUGCUGUGACUCGAGUCCGGUAGGGGAGUGUGGAAUUCCCGGUGUAGCGGUGAAAUGCGUAGAUAUUGGGAGGAACACCAGUGGCGAAGGCGGCUCACUGGACCGGAACUGACGCUGAGGCGCGAAAGCGUGGGGAGCAAACGGG